UACGUAGGGUGCAAGCGUUAUCCGGAUUUACUGGGUUUAAAGGGUGCGUAGGCGGCUUUUUAAGUCAAUAGCUAAAGAUCGAUGCUCAACAUCGGGGGUGCUUUUGAAACUGAAAAGCUAGAGUUAAGAAAAAGUAAGCGGAAUUUGUGGUGUAGCGGUGAAAUGCUUAGAUAUCAUAAGGAACUCCAAUAGCGUAGGCAGCUUGCUGUUCUUAUACUGACGCUGAGGCACGAAAGGCGGUUAAGCAAACAGG
This 253-nucleotide ribosomal RNA is filed under the name uncultured bacterium. Its description in RNAcentral is "partial 16S ribosomal RNA". It matches the Rfam family "Bacterial small subunit ribosomal RNA", at positions 524 to 776 of the family's 1533-position model. The record is from RNAcentral.